GCCGAAAUAGCUUCAGUUGGGAGAGCGUUAGACUGAAGAUCUAAAGCUCCCUGGUUCGAUCCCGGGUUUCGGCA
RNAcentral lists this transfer RNA (74 nucleotides) under Rhipicephalus sanguineus (brown dog tick). RNAcentral's name for it is "transfer RNA phenylalanine (anticodon GAA)". It matches the Rfam family "tRNA". From Rfam's summary of the family: Transfer RNA (tRNA) molecules are approximately 80 nucleotides in length. Lineage: Eukaryota; Metazoa; Arthropoda; Arachnida; Ixodida; Ixodidae. The record is from Rfam by way of RNAcentral.